AGCGAACGCUGGCGGCAGGCCUAACACAUGCAAGUCGAGCGCCCAGCAAUGGGAGCGGCAGACGGGUGAGUAACGCGUGGGGAUGUGCCCAAUGGUGCGGAAUAACCCAGGGAAACUUGGAUUAAUACCGCAAGUGCCCUUCGGGGGAAAGAUUUAUCGCCAUUGGAUCAACCCGCGUCUGAUUAGCUAGUUGGUGAGGUAAAGGCUCACCAAGGCGACGAUCAGUAGCUGGUCUGAGAGGAUGAUCAGCCACACUGGGACUGAGACACGGCCCAGACUCCUACGGGAGGCAGCAGUGGGGAAUAUUGGACAAUGGGCGCAAGCCUGAUCCAGCCAUGCCGCGUGAGUGAUGAAGGCCUUAGGGUUGUAAAGCUCUUUCGCCGGUGAAGAUAAUGACGGUAACCGGAGAAGAAGCCCCGGCUAACUUCGUGCCAGCCGCCGCAGUAA
Molecule: ribosomal RNA, 447 nt
Filed under: uncultured bacterium
Lineage: Bacteria
Description: partial 16S ribosomal RNA
Rfam family: Bacterial small subunit ribosomal RNA
Source: RNAcentral